UGACCAAUCGUGUGCUGCCACAUC
Molecule: non-coding RNA, 24 nt
Filed under: Arabidopsis thaliana (thale cress)
Lineage: Eukaryota; Viridiplantae; Streptophyta; Magnoliopsida; Brassicales; Brassicaceae
Source: RNAcentral